GUCAAAAUCAGAUUGCAAGAUUUUGUUAGAAGUUAGGUGGGAAUUUGCAUUUACCUAGGACAGGUUGCCUUGCUAUGAGUAUAGCACACGCAAUCAACAUUUAGCCCACGCAAUCAACAUUUCUCACUGUACCACGCUUUUCAGGGGUGAGGUUGGUCUCAAAGUCCCUGGAUCAAACCUGUGAAAUGAGGCUGGUUUUCACUACAGCAGGUAAAAGGUGUGCCUCUUCAUCCAGCAUAUGGUUUUCU
Long non-coding RNA from Ictalurus punctatus (channel catfish), 248 nucleotides. Lineage: Eukaryota; Metazoa; Chordata; Actinopteri; Siluriformes; Ictaluridae. The record is from Ensembl.